GGCUUCGUAGCUUAGUUGGUAGAGAGUGCACUGUGCGAACUUCGUGGGCGGCGUCCAUGCGUGGGUUUGAAUCCCAUCGAGGCUA
This 85-nucleotide transfer RNA is filed under the name Echinostoma caproni. It matches the Rfam family "tRNA". From Rfam's summary of the family: Transfer RNA (tRNA) molecules are approximately 80 nucleotides in length. Their secondary structure includes four short double-helical elements and three loops (D, anti-codon, and T loops). Further hydrogen bonds mediate the characteristic L-shaped molecular structure. tRNAs have two regions of fundamental functional importance: the anti-codon, which is responsible for specific mRNA codon recognition, and the 3' end, to which the tRNAs corresponding amino acid is attached (by aminoacyl-tRNA synthetases). tRNAs cope with the degeneracy of the genetic code in two manners: having more than one tRNA (with a specific anti-codon) for a particular amino acid; and 'wobble' base-pairing, i.e. permitting non-standard base-pairing at the 3rd anti-codon position. Lineage: Eukaryota; Metazoa; Platyhelminthes; Trematoda; Plagiorchiida; Echinostomatidae. The record is from Rfam by way of RNAcentral.